Molecule: long non-coding RNA, 804 nt
Organism: Rhipicephalus microplus (southern cattle tick)
Lineage: Eukaryota; Metazoa; Arthropoda; Arachnida; Ixodida; Ixodidae
Source: RefSeq, a predicted model, not a curated record
AUUUGAAAAGUGCAGAAGCACUUGUCAAACAACUGACAAAAUGCACAUCUUGCCGAAGUCGCGGGGAAGAGGAGGAGGAGAAGCGCGGUGCGGCCAAAAAAAUGGGCGCAAUAUACCGGCCUGCCGUGCUUAAACAAAUUGUUUCAGCAACGCUGCCAACAUCAGCAGACGCGCGUGGACCUCAACGGACCUGCGACCCACACCACGAGUCAACGGACCUGCGAGUCACCCCACACCUGCAGGCUGAAAAAGAGCAGGGGCCAUGUUUGGCCUCGAGGACAAGCAGCUGUUCACCAGCCUGACCUGCUGAAGAAUACAGGCCAGUUUAUAGCUGCAGCCCUGCGGGCCCAAGCAGGGAACCUGGUUCUGGGAUAGCCACGCAGUUGCUGUUCUGUUGGAGUGACCCUGAUGUUGUGGAACUGCAGCCGGGGAGCUCAAUCUUUGUUGAGGCACGGGCACUGCAAGCUGUGCUCAAUUCAGCGAAAACAUCAACUGCAUUGGCCCGGGGCUCCUCCCUGCAGUUUUCAACAAGCAUGCCCUCCUGACAUGCUCAAUGAAGGGCCAGAAGGCCAAAGGGGCACACAAACCAGUGGCCCAACGGCCUCCUCUUCACGCUGCUGCAAUUGAUGCAAUUUUAGCGUACACGAAAAGCACAGCAAUAGGGAAAGGGUGGGACUUCUCUGAAAAACUCCUGGUGCCCUCAAUGGGCACGAAGCUGGCUGAGCUGAGAGCUGAAGAAAAAAAAAAUGCAGUCCUCCAAUAAAACUAGUCGUUUUUACAGCAUUAUGUGUUUGUGAGUUUUGU